ACCAAAGCUAGCUCAACAUACUAAACAAAUACAAAAAUACACCAAAAUAAAAUAAAACAUUCACCUAACAUUAAAGUAUAGGAGAUAGAAAUUUUUAUCCUGACGCUAUAGAGAUAGUACCGUAAGGGAAAGAUGAAAGAAUAAAAUAAAAGUAAAAAAAAGCAAAGAUUACCCCUUCUACCUUUUGCAUAAUGAUUUAACCAGAAAAAAUCUAACAAAGAGAACUUUAGCUAGAUACCCCGAAACCAGACGAGCUACCUAUGAGCAGUUUAAAAGAACCAACUCAUCUAUGUAGCAAAAUAGUGAGAAGACUUGUAGGUAGGGGUGAAAAGCCUAACGAGCCUGGUGAUAGCUGGUUGUCCGAGAAAGAAUUUUAGUUCAACCUUAAAAAUACCCCAAAAACCCUAAAUUCCAAUGUAUUUUUAAGAGAUAGUCUAAAAAGGUACAGCUUUUUAGAUAACGGAUACAACCUUGACUAGAGAGUAAAAUCUUAAUAUUACCAUAGUAGGCCUAAAAGCAGCCAUCAAUUGAGAAAGCGUUAAAGCUCAACAAAUCCACCGACAUAAUCCCAAAAACUAAUAACAAACUCCUAGCCCAAUACCGGACUAAUCUAUUAAAACAUAGAAGCAAUAAUGUUAAUAUGAGUAACAAGAAGCCCUUCUCCUCGCACACGCUUACAUCAGUAACUAAUAAUACACUGAUAAUUAACAAUCAAUAAACCAAAACAACACUAAAACGUUUAUCAAUUACAUUGUUAACCCAACACAGGAGUGCACCAAGGAAAGAUUAAAAGAAGUAAAAGGAACUCGGCAAACACAAACCCCGCCUGUUUACCAAAAACAUCACCUCUAGCAUUACUAGUAUUAGAGGCAAUGCCUGCCCAGUGACACCAGCUCUUACUUCCAAUCAGUGAAAUUGACCUUCCCGUGAAGAGGCGGGAAUAAAAAAAUAAGACGAGAAGACCCUAUGGAGCUUUAAUUAACUAUUCCAAAAGUUAAACAAUUCAACCACAAAGGGAUAAAACAUAACUUAACAUGGACUAGCAAUUUCGGUUGGGGUGACCUCGGAGUACAAAAAACCCUCCGAGUGAUUUUAAUCUAGACAAACCAGUCAAAAUAACCACAACAUCACUUAUUGAUCCAAAAUUUUGAUCAACGGAACAAGUUACCCUAGGGAUAACAGCGCAAUCCUAUUCUAGAGUUCCUAUCGACAAUAGGGUUUACGACCUCGAUGUUGGAUCAGGACACCCAAAUGGUGCAACCGCUAUUAAAGGUUCGUUUGUUCAACGAUUAAAGUCCUACGUGAUCUGAGUUCAGACCGGAGCAAUCCAGGUCGGUUUCUAUCUAUUAUAAAUUUCUCCCAGUACGAAAGGACAAGAGAAAUGAGACCAACCUCACAAACGCGUCUCAGAGAUAAUUAAUGAUAUAAUCUUAACUUAAUUAACUCAUAAUAAAUCCAGCCCUAGAACAGGGCAC
This 1475-nucleotide ribosomal RNA is filed under the name Sus celebensis (Celebes wild boar). Its description in RNAcentral is "partial 16S ribosomal RNA". It matches the Rfam family "Bacterial large subunit ribosomal RNA". The record is from RNAcentral. Lineage: Eukaryota; Metazoa; Chordata; Mammalia; Artiodactyla; Suidae.